This 320-nucleotide ribosomal RNA is filed under the name uncultured eukaryote. RNAcentral's name for it is "partial 18S ribosomal RNA". It matches the Rfam family "Eukaryotic small subunit ribosomal RNA", at positions 1470 to 1796 of the family's 1831-position model. The record is from RNAcentral.
CCCUUAGAUGUUCUGGGCCGCACGCGCGCUACACUGAUGCAUUCAACGAGCUCUUCCUGGUCCGAGAGGAAUGGGUAACCUUUUGAAAGUGCAUCGUGCUAGGGAUAGACUAUUGCAAUUAUUGGUCUUCAACGAGGAAUUCCUAGUAGACGUAGUUCAUCAGACUGCAUCGAUUACGUCCCUGCCCUUUGUACACACCGCCCGUCGCUCCUACCGAUUGGAUGAUCCGGUGAGCUAUUCGGACCUGUGCAUUUUCCAUUGGAACUUGCGUGGGAAAGUCUCGCGAACCUUAUCAUCUAGAGGAAGGAGAAGUCGUAACA